This 570-nucleotide ribosomal RNA is filed under the name uncultured bacterium. RNAcentral describes it as "bacterial SSU rRNA". It matches the Rfam family "Bacterial small subunit ribosomal RNA", at positions 337 to 917 of the family's 1533-position model. The record is from RNAcentral.
UCCUACGGGAGGCAGCAGUGGGGAAUAUUGCACAAUGGGCGCAAGCCUGAUGCAGCAACGCCGCGUGAGGGAUGACGGCCUUCGGGUUGUAAACCUCUUUUAGCAGGGAAGAAGCGAAAGUGACGGUACCUGCAGAAAAAGCACCGGCUAACUACGUGCCAGCAGCCGCGGUAAUACGUAGGGUGCAAGCGUUAUCCGGAAUUAUUGGGCGUAAAGAGCUCGUAGGCGGUUUGUCGCGUCUGCUGUGAAAACUGGGGGCUCAACCCCCAGCCUGCAGUGGGUACGGGCAGACUAGAGUGCGGUAGGGGAGAUUGGAAUUCCCGGUGUAGCGGUGGAAUGCGCAGAUAUCAGGAGGAACACCGAUGGCGAAGGCAGAUCUCUGGGCCGUAACUGACGCUGAGGAGCGAAAGGGUGGGGAGCAAACAGGCUUAGAUACCCUGGUAGUCCACCCCGUAAACGUUGGGAACUAGUUGUGGGGUCCAUUCCACGGAUUCCGUGACGCAGCUAACGCAUUAAGUCCCCCGCCUGGGGAGUACGGCCGCAAGGCUAAAACUCAAAUGAAUUGACGGA